Molecule: ribosomal RNA, 411 nt
Filed under: uncultured bacterium
Lineage: Bacteria
Description: bacterial SSU rRNA
Rfam family: Bacterial small subunit ribosomal RNA
Source: RNAcentral
CCUGGGGGCCCCCCUGCCGCAGCAACGCCGCUUGGGUGAUGACGGCCUUCGGGUCGUAAAGCCCUGUCGGGAGGGAAGAAAUGAUUGAGAGCUAAUACCUCUUGGUCUUGACGGUACCUCCGCAGGAAGCACCGGCUAACACCGUGCCAGCAGCCGCGGUACUACGGAGGGUGCAAGCGUUGUUCGGAAUUAUUGGGCGUAAAGCGCGUGUAGGCGGUCUUUUAAUGCUGAUGUGAAAGCCCCGGGCGCAACGUGGCAAGUGCAUUGGAAACGGGGAGACUUGAGUACGGGAGAGGAGAGUGGAAUUCCUAGUGUAGGAGUGAAAUCCGUAGAGAGUAGGAGGAACACCGGUGGCGAAGGCGGCUCUCUGGACCGAUACGGACGCUGAGACGCGAAAGCGUGGGUAGCAAA